GGCAGUUCUCAGGUGACACACCCCAGAAUCGGGCUUCCCUCUCUGGUUCCAGGUGUGUCACCCAAGAACUGCA
This is a non-coding RNA of Myotis davidii, 73 nucleotides long. NCBI's taxonomy places the organism in Eukaryota, Metazoa, Chordata, Mammalia, Chiroptera, Vespertilionidae. The record is from Rfam.